Long non-coding RNA from Oreochromis niloticus (Nile tilapia), 614 nucleotides. RefSeq lists it as uncharacterized. The transcript has 3 exons. The record is from RefSeq and is a predicted model, not a curated record. Lineage: Eukaryota; Metazoa; Chordata; Actinopteri; Cichliformes; Cichlidae.
ACCAUGUCUCUGUUUGCUUUCAGCUCAGCAUUAUGCAAAUGUCUGAGAAUGUCAGAUGAACAGCAAAACUAUCCAGUGUCAGAAUUCUGUUACAGACUCAGACCAAGGAUCUGCAAAAACUUGCAGUUUCCAAGCAACAGCCAACACAUCUCGACAUCAUGACCCGACACACUGUGAAACCUCUGGAGAGCAAACAUCAGAGCAGCAGAGCCAUGACUGCCUACAGUGAUUCUGUGUCACUAUGAUGGAAACGGGUGAGCGCAGCCGAUAUCGCGGGUGAAAAAUUCAUCGGAAAAUCAAGAAUCUUCUACAAUUGAAGCUGAACUGCACAAACUUACUGCAAAGAAAAUGACAAUAGUGAAAAUCACUCGGGACUCUUCACUGCUGUGGAUCCAGGAUCUCAGUCCAAGGUUGUUUUUUGUGACAGAAGUUGGCAGGCGAAAGAAGACAGGCUCAUAUCAAAAUGCUGGAGGGAGAAAGGAGAGAGGACUUCAGUGAGUGGACAUUGCUUCAACUCAUAACUGAAGCUGCCAAAAAGAAAAUUGCGGAGAUCAGCGUUGAUAUCAUGCCUCUCCAUCAUGCACAUAGACCUCAUUUCCAACAAGUACACCCCA